This 164-nucleotide ribosomal RNA is filed under the name uncultured bacterium. RNAcentral's name for it is "partial 16S ribosomal RNA". It matches the Rfam family "Bacterial small subunit ribosomal RNA", at positions 355 to 511 of the family's 1533-position model. The record is from RNAcentral.
UAGGGAAUCUUCCACAAUGGACGAAAGUCUGAUGGAGCAACGCCGCGUGAGUGAAGAAGGGUUUCGGCUCGUAAAGCUCUGUUGUUAAAGAAGAACGUGGGUAAGAGUAACUGCUUACCCAGUGACGGUAUUUAACCAGAAAGCCACGGCUAACUACGUGCCAG